Molecule: ribosomal RNA, 773 nt
Filed under: uncultured bacterium
Lineage: Bacteria
Description: bacterial SSU rRNA
Rfam family: Bacterial small subunit ribosomal RNA
Source: RNAcentral
UGCAAGUCGAGGGGUAGAACACUUCGGUGUUUGAGACCGGCGCACGGGUGCGUAACGCGUAUGCAAUCUACCUUGUACAGGGGAACAGCCCAGAGAAAUUUGGAUUAAUGCCCCAUAGUAUAUAACCUUCGCAUGUUGGUUAUAUUAAAGUUCCAACGGUACAAGAUGAGCAUGCGUCCCAUUAGUUAGUUGGUAAGGCAACGGCUUACCAAGACGAUGAUGGGUAGGGGUCCUGAGAGGGAGAUCCCCCACACUGGUACUGAGACACGGACCAGACUCCUACGGGAGGCAGCAGUGAGGAAUAUUGGUCAAUGGUCGCAAGACUGAACCAGCCAUGCCGCGUGCAGGAAGACGGUCCUAUGGAUUGUAAACUGCUUUUAUACAGGAGGAAACCCUCCCACGUGUGGGAGCUUGACGGUACUGUAGGAAUAAGGAUCGGCUAACUCCGUGCCAGCAGCCGCGGUAAUACGGAGGAUCCAAGCGUUAUCCGGAAUCAUUGGGUUUAAAGGGUCCGUAGGCGGUCUUAUAAGUCAGUGGUGAAAGCCCAUCGCUCAACGAUGGAACUGCCAUUGAUACUGUAAGACUUGAAUGCUUAGGAAGUAACUAGAAUAUGUAGUGUAGCGGUGAAAUGCUUAGAUAUUACAUGGAAUACCAAUUGCGAAGGCAGGUUACUACUAAGUGAUUGACGCUGAUGGACGAAGCGUGGGGAGCGACAGGAUAGAUACCUGGUAGUCACGCGUAACGAUGAUACUAGCUGUCGGAUAUCUGAUGCU